Molecule: ribosomal RNA, 293 nt
Filed under: uncultured bacterium
Lineage: Bacteria
Description: partial 16S ribosomal RNA
Rfam family: Bacterial small subunit ribosomal RNA
Source: RNAcentral
GUGUCAGCCGCCGCGGUAAUACGUAGGGGCCAAGCGUUGUCCGGAUUUAUUGGGCGUAAAGAGCUCGUAGGCGGUUCGGUAAGUCAGGUGUGAAAUCUCCGCGCUCAACGCGGAGCGGUCAUCUGAAACUGCCGUGACUCGAGUCCGGUAGGGGAGUGUGGAAUUCCCGGUGUAGCGGUGAAAUGCGCAGAUAUCGGGAGGAACACCAGUGGCGAAGGCGGCACUCUGGGCCGGAACUGACGCUGAGGAGCGAAAGCGUGGGGAGCGAACAGGAUUAGAAACCCCUGUAGUCC